Molecule: non-coding RNA, 102 nt
Organism: Triticum aestivum (bread wheat)
Lineage: Eukaryota; Viridiplantae; Streptophyta; Magnoliopsida; Poales; Poaceae
Source: Rfam
UUUCCUUCAGGGACAUCCGAUAAAAUUAGAACGAUAUAAAGAAACUUAGCAUGGCCCCCACCCAAGGAUGUCAGCACAAAUCGAGAAAAAAAUCAUAACUUC